GCAGUUGAUGAGUUGUACAUUUUAGUUUUCGAUGGAUUUGUUUGGGGGGAGAAUAUCAUGCAUUUGUGAAGUUUCUAAUGCCACAAAAUCUGCUAAAACUGUGAGAAUUUAUAUGGUCUAAUUUGAAGAGUAAAAGAAAACACAAUGAACAUGACUUGACACUAUCGCCUGGCAACCGAUGAUCCUCUCUAAGAAACAAAAGUCGACCUUGAUGAACUAAGUACUCUGUGCUUGAUUCAGAAGAAGAAGAAGAAGAACUAAAUACUGGUUUCUUAAUGCAUAUUAUGCAAACUAUAAGAAGAGGCUAAAAAGGUCUAAUGAUUUUGGAUCGACAUUUGAUACCCGAACCGUGCUACUUGGUAGCACUGGUUUCAUUAGCUUGAAAUCUUUUGCC
RNAcentral lists this long non-coding RNA (394 nucleotides) under Musa acuminata (dwarf banana). RNAcentral describes it as "long non-coding RNA (MACU_LNC001070)". The record is from RNAcentral. Lineage: Eukaryota; Viridiplantae; Streptophyta; Magnoliopsida; Zingiberales; Musaceae.